UCGCGAAUUUUUCACAAUGGGCGCAAGCCUGAUGAAGCCACGCCGCGUGCGGGAUGAAGGCCCUCUGGGUUGUAAACCGCUGUCAGGUGGGGGGAAACGUAUGGUUUUAAUAGAGCCAUGCUUGACUGCCCGCCAAAGGAAGCCCCGGCAAAACAUGUGCCAGCAGCCGCGGUAAUACAUGUGGGGCAAGCGUUGUUCGGAAUUACUGGGCAUAAAGGGUGCGUAGGUGGUCUGGUAAGUCAGUGGUGAAAUCUGGCGGCCCAACCGUCAAAUUGCCAUUGAUACUGCCGGACUUGAGUGCGUGAGGGGUGACUGGAACGCGUGGUGUAGCGGUGAAAUGCGUAGAUAUCACGCGGAAGGCCAACGGCGAAGGCAAGUCACUGGUACGCAACUGACACUG
This 400-nucleotide ribosomal RNA is filed under the name uncultured bacterium. RNAcentral describes it as "bacterial SSU rRNA". It matches the Rfam family "Bacterial small subunit ribosomal RNA", at positions 355 to 748 of the family's 1533-position model. The record is from RNAcentral.